This 2493-nucleotide long non-coding RNA is filed under the name Homo sapiens (human). Its description in RNAcentral is "HSALNT0270976". Lineage: Eukaryota; Metazoa; Chordata; Mammalia; Primates; Hominidae. The record is from RNAcentral.
CCACUUUUAACUUUUCUGAUUACAAUUCCAUAUGAGUUUCCAUAGGGACACACAGCCAAAUCUUAUUAUUCUGUCCCUGCCCCACAAAUCUCACAUCCUUCUCACUUUGCAAAAUACAAUGAUGCCUUACUUACAAUUCCCCAAGCUACUGUGCUUUUUUUUUACAGCCUGUAGAACCAUGAGUCAAUUAAACCUUUUUGUUAUGAUCAUACAGAAAAUUAGUAUUGUGAAGUGAAGCUAUGAAAUGCCUUCAAUGACUAUUCCCCAUCAUCUUGGUUAAGACCCCCAAGGUCUUAACCAUUCUAGCAUUUAGUCAAAUGUCUGAAGCCCAAAGUCUCAUCUGAGACAAAGAUGCAGUCCCUUCUCCUCCUGAGCCUCUGAAAUACAAAGCAAGUUAACUGCUUCCAAGGUAUGAUUGUCCAGACAUUGAGUAAGAAUUCCCAACCAAAAGGAAGAUUUUUGCCAGAGAGAAGAACAAAACACAAACGAGACUUACAGGUCCCAUGAAAAUCCAAAACCCAGCAGGCCAGUUAUUCAAACCUACAGCUCCAAAGUCAUCCUUUUCCAAUCCUUGUCCCAUCUCCAGGGCACAAGGGUAUGAGGGCUGGGUUCCCAAGGCCUUGGGCAGCUCUCUACCUGUGGCUUUGCAGUGUUCAGUCCCCACAGCUGCCCUCAUGGGCUGUGCUGGUGUUGACUGACUGUAGUUUUUACCCACAGACAGUACAAAGUUCUUGGUGGGUCUAUGAAUCUGGGGUCUGCAUGAUGCUGGCCUCCAUUGUGGGGGCUCCAAGCCCAUAUUUUCCUUCUGCACUGCCCUAGUAGAGGUUUCCCAGGAGGCUCUGCUUUUUGGCUCCUUCUGUCUGGACUCCCAGGUAUUUUCAUACGUCUUCUGAAAUCUAUAUGAAGGCUCCGAAGCCUCUGGGCUAGUGCUCUGUGCACUCGCGGGCUUAACACUAUGUGGAAGCCAUGAAGCCUUAUAGCCUGUACCCUCUGAAGCAGUGAUGCAAUCUGUACCGGUGCAUCUUUCAGCCAAGUUUGGAACAGGAGCCGGGGCUGCCAGGAUGCAGGCAGCAGUGUCCUGAGGCUGCAAACAGCCGCAGGGUCAUGGGGCUGGCCCAGGAAACCAUUCUUCUCUCCUAGGCUCCAGGGCCUGUGACAGCAAGGGCUGCUGCAAACAUCUCUGAAAUGCCUCCAAGACUUUUUCCCCCAUUGUCUUGGCUAUUAGCACUGGCCUCCAUUUUAUGCAAGUUUCUGGAGCCUUCAUGAAUUUUCCCCCUGAAAAUCAGCUUUUCUUUUUGACCACUUGGCCAGGCUGCGGAUAUUCCAAACUUUUGAGCUCUGCUUGUCAUUUAAAUAUAAGUUCCAACUUGAGGUCAUUUCCUCGGUCACACAUAACCUCGGUCACACAUAACCUCAGUCACACAUGAAAGCACAGGCUGUUUGAUGCAGACAUGCCCCCACCCUUGUGCUAUGCUGCCUAGAAGUUCUUUCCACCAGAUAUGCACUAAAUCUUCACCCUAGAGUUCAAAAUUUCACAGAUCUUGAGGGCAAGGUCGCCCUGCAGCCAUGUUCUUUGCUACAGCAAAACAAAAGCUAACCUUGGCUCCCGUUCCCAGUAAGAUCCUCAUUUUCAUCUGAGACCUUGUAAGCCUGGCCUUCACUGUCCAUCCUUCUGUCAGCCUUUCAAUCACAACUAUUUAACAAGUGCCUACAAUGGUCCAAACUUUCCUUCAUCUCUCUGUCUUCUUUCAAGAUCUCCAAACUCUCCAACCUCUGGCUGUUACCCACUUCCGAACCUGCUUUACAUUUUCAGCUAUCUUUGUUGCAGCCUGGCAAUGCAGAAGAAAAAGAAGUCCAUUUUCAGGGGGAAACUUCAAGAAGCCUUCAGAUAUUUGCAUUAAAAAGAAGUCCAGUGCUAAUAGCCAAGACGAUGGGGAAAUGUCAUUGAAGAUAUUUCAUAGCUCCACUUCGCAGUACUUUAUUUUCUGUAUGAUCGUAAUGAAAAGGGGUUUAAUUGGCUCAUGGUUCUGCAGGCUGUAAAGAAAGCAUAGUGGCUUCUGCUUCUGGGAGGACUCAGGAAGCCUCCCAAUCACAGCAGUAGGAAAACUGCAAUGAAAUGUUUCAUACAGAAGGAGUAGGAGCAAGGCUGAGAGAGGAAAGUGGUGCCACACCAUCCUGUAACCAGAUCUCAUGAGAACUCACUAUCACUAGGUCAGCAUCAAGAAGAUGGUGCUUAACCGUUGGUGAAGGAUCCGCCCCCCAACACAGCUCCACCCCCUACCGUUCCAGACAGAAGCCUGCUGCAGAGGCAGAGGCUCUUGGAAAUCCUGUACUAUGGCAGUGCAGAAGGAAAAUAAGGGCUUUGAGUGACUAUGCAGGAGGCCACCAGCCUCUAGACCCCAGAUUCAUAGACCUACCAACAGUUCACACCCUCAGUAUGGAAAAGUGAUAGGCACUCAACACCAGCCAAGCCCAUGAGAGCAGCCAUGGGGC